RNAcentral lists this transfer RNA (77 nucleotides) under Cricetulus griseus (Chinese hamster). It matches the Rfam family "tRNA". Rfam says of the family: Transfer RNA (tRNA) molecules are approximately 80 nucleotides in length. Their secondary structure includes four short double-helical elements and three loops (D, anti-codon, and T loops). The record is from Rfam by way of RNAcentral. Lineage: Eukaryota; Metazoa; Chordata; Mammalia; Rodentia; Cricetidae.
GGAGCUAUGGCUCAGUGGUUAAGAGCUCUGGCUGCUCUUUCUUCCAGAGGUCCUGAGUUCAAUUCCCAGCAACUACA